Molecule: unclassified non-coding RNA, 2055 nt
Filed under: Daphnia magna
Lineage: Eukaryota; Metazoa; Arthropoda; Branchiopoda; Diplostraca; Daphniidae
Description: dolichyl pyrophosphate Man9GlcNAc2 alpha-1,3- glucosyltransferase-like, transcript variant X1
Source: RNAcentral
CAUCAUUGCAGGCUGCGACUUGAAGACACUAAAUUAACUCAGCUAUUUUUGUUUUUUUGUUUGGUUUUUUCGUUUUGUUAUUUAUUUUUAGUGAUUUUCGUCAUAGUAGUCAUAGCGUAGUAAGGAUUCACUAUGGAGGUCCCUUACAAGUUAGAAGUGAUUGCUUUGACUACAAUCAUCAUUAAACUGGGUGUCUCAGUUUUCCCAUAUUCUGGCAAAAAUCAACCUCCAAAAUUUGGAGAUUAUGAAGCUCAAAGACAUUGGAUGGAAAUUACGGUUAACUUACCCAUACAGGAUUGGUAUAGAAAUACAACAGACAAUGAUUUAUUGUACUGGGGACUGGAUUACCCUCCUCUCACAGCAUAUCAAAGCUACCUAACUGGAUCGGUGGCUAAGAAAAUCAACCAAGACUAUGUAAAACUCCAUGUGUCUCAGGGAUUUGAAAACUUUGACCACCAAUAUUUCAUGAGGAUGUCCGUCCUUGUGUCUGAUUGUAUUUUCUUUGUCAGUGCACUUUAUUUUUACAUUAGAAGCUUGAAGAUGAGUAAUAAGUACAAAUGGGUUUUCUUUGCUUUGUCCUCACACUCUGGACUCACCCUUAUAGAUUAUGGUCAUUUUCAGUACAAUUGUGUUUCGUUGGGGUUGACCUUGUGGGCAAUCAUUUUUGUUUCUCAGGGAAAGAAUGUGUUAGCAGCAAUUGCCUUUUCAGCUGCCUUAAACUUUAAGCAGAUGGAGUUGUAUCAUGCAAUACUUCUAUUUGCUGGCUUCUAUUUGCUGGCUUCCUGUCAACCUAAAGGUUCCUCACUUCCCUCCCAACUAAAGAAUUUGGUCCAGAUUGGCGCUGCCACAGUGGCGACCUUUGCAAUCAUUUGGUAUCCAUUUCUUCAAAUUCAUGAUUGGCUUUUACAGCAAGUCAUCGUCAGACUCUUUAUUCCUUUUCAGCGUGGAAUCUUUGAAGACUAUGUCGCCAAUUUUUGGUGCACGCUAAAUGUUGUGAUCAAAAUCAAACGACUAUUAAACCCAACCUCAAUCGCCUCGGGAACUAUCACCUAGGCCAUGCCCGUGCCUGAAAGAAAAAGUCAGGACGUUGAUUCGAACGGAUUCGAAUGCAACGAGCACUAAGUACGGUCACAUUAUUGGAGGAAUGACCGUGUGCUUGGUUCGUGAUUUGGAGUCACAAGUGAUAGCUGCAAGCUGAUAUCACUCGAACCACUGCACCAACCCGACUAAGCAUGAUCGAAAAAAGCUGCAGCUCAUUAUGGCGUCAGUUUAGCUUUAAUGCUAAAUUUCGCAAACACGGUGAACUAGAUUGACAAUAAUAAAAAAUGAACUUUAUUCGUCACUUGCUGUGUUACUUAUUAUUAAGAAUCUCAAUUAUGCUAAACAAAUUUUGACACGCAAAAAAUGCUACAAUAGAAACGGAAACGGUUGCACUCACGGAUCGUGACUGGAACAUGUAUACCAAUCCCGCCAUAAGACCUAGAAGUUACUCUUCGGUUGCCACCAGGUGGCAUAUGAGUAGCAUAUUUCUAUGAAUAUGAAAUCUUUUGAUGGCUGUCGUUCGGCCCGUUACAUUGGCGAUUGUAUGGAAGUGAAAAUGACUAGCUGGUUGGUUACUACAGUCAGUAUGUCGUAUUGUGCACGUCAUAUUCGCCUUGUUUUCUGUAGAUGACAGAAAACGGCAGAAACGACAAGAAGACUCAUGCCUGAACAGAUUCGUUCUGUUCUGUUAUAAUCUAGUAAAUGCUUUUGUAUUGUACAAAUGCAAUUUUAGUUUCGAUCGAACUGAUCACACCGGAAUCUUUUCAGCCUUGUUAGAUUGUGGGGUAAAUGAUGUCGCUGUGCGCACUGCAAAAAUGUUUUUCUUUUUCUCGUAGAAGCCGACUUUGAAUAAAAUGUAAAACAAAACAAAAACUCAAGCAAUCAUUUUAGUUUAUAUUGUUAUGAAUUGGAUUCUGGGAAACUAAUUCGAAGGCAACGUUAUAUCCACUUCAAGAGAAACAGACGAAUGAUUGUCGUCGGAGAGAAAAGGAGGGAAGAAGCGGGAAGAAGAGC